This 467-nucleotide ribosomal RNA is filed under the name uncultured Alphaproteobacteria bacterium. RNAcentral describes it as "bacterial SSU rRNA". It matches the Rfam family "Bacterial small subunit ribosomal RNA", at positions 9 to 524 of the family's 1533-position model. The record is from RNAcentral. Lineage: Bacteria; Pseudomonadati; Pseudomonadota; Alphaproteobacteria.
GAGUUUGAUCCUGGCUCAGAACGAACGCUGGCGGCAGGCUUAACACAUGCAAGUCGAGCGCCCCGCAAGGGGAGCGGCAGACGGGUGAGUAACGCGUGGGAAUCUACCCAAUACUACGGAAUAGCUCCGGGAAACUGGAAUUAAUACCGUAUGUGCCCGACAGGGGAAAGAUUUAUCGGUAUUGGAUGAGCCCGCGUUGGAUUAGCUAGUUGGUGGGGUAAUGGCCCACCAAGGCGACGAUCCAUAGCUGGUCUGAGAGGAUGAUCAGCCACACUGGGACUGAGACACGGCCCAGACUCCUACGGGAGGCAGCAGUGGGGAAUAUUGGACAAUGGGCGAAAGCCUGAUCCAGCCAUGCCGCGUGAGUGAUGAAGGCCUUAGGGUUGUAAAGCUCUUUCAGUGGGGAAGAUAAUGACGGUACCCACAGAAGAAGCCCCGGCUAACUUCGUGCCAGCAGCCGCCGUAAC